Molecule: non-coding RNA, 100 nt
Organism: Psilocybe cubensis
Lineage: Eukaryota; Fungi; Basidiomycota; Agaricomycetes; Agaricales; Agrocybaceae
Source: the annotation of a RefSeq genome assembly
GCCCGCCUAGCUCAAUCGGAUAGAGCGUCAGACUCUUACGGCGGGUUUCUUCCUUCCCUUUGACAUCUGAAGGCUGCGAGUUCGACCCUCGCGGUGGGCU